Molecule: long non-coding RNA, 1074 nt
Organism: Gallus gallus (chicken)
Lineage: Eukaryota; Metazoa; Chordata; Aves; Galliformes; Phasianidae
Source: Ensembl
CUUGUAGUCCGGCCGACACACUUAUUUUCCCAUUGAGCAGAAUGGCUCAGGCCUUUCAGCAUUUAGUUCUAUUUGGGGAGGCACCCAGGGAGGUACGUGGGCUCCCACCUGAUUUCAGCAGGACAUCGGUUCUUCAUACAUUCAUAAAAGUGGCUUUCAUUCUGUUUUAGGAUGGCCCCCAGAUCCCUGACAUGGUCACACCUGUACAUAAGCUGACAUCUAUGCCAUACUGUCCAAAUGAGUUGGCAACGGAUAACAGUCACCUCGAGGUUCUUAGGGGGUCUCUGGUUAUCUGCCCUCGGUGUCAUGAGCUGAUUCCCAGCACACAGCACCCGCUUUGAGGGCAUUUCCUUCACCUGGCAUGGCUUCUCCUGGAUCCCCUUGUGCCGUUCCUGGUCCAGCAGGUCUUGAUGCUGAGCGUGUGGGACAGUUCCUAUUUCCCUGUGUGAGUUUUCGUGGUGGGUUUCCCCUCAAAACCCAUUCUGCAAAGUGUUUGCUGUUUCCUUCCGUCCGCUCCUUGCAGACGCCUAUUUUAGAGGCUGCCUUUGGAAGCUGCGAUCGUGGCUGUCCUUCACACGAGGUCAGGUUAAUUUGGGACUCAUCCCUGGCAUGUCACUGAUUUACAGAUCUGUCUCGACGAGCCUAUUUUGGGUAAAUUCACCUCACCUCCCCCUCAGCUCUUGCGAAAUUACCAAUAUUUCACCUUUCUCUUGUUUAAAUAAAUGAAACCACAUCUGCUCAGAGAAUACAAGGUUCUCACCCUCCUUAACGUCACUCCUUAAUGACUCCUGCAACGUCCUUUGAAGAGAAAAGAUGUUUUAUUUGGAUAAGGAAAAAGAGGAAUAACGGUGAGGAACGUGGAGGCUGACUGCAGCUGGGGAUGUGGCGGUGCAGCUGCCGUUCAUACGUGAGAAGGGCGUCAGGUGCUCCUGAAAACCCGAGUUCUGUCACCAAAUCCCACCUGCCCCCUCCUCUCCAACUGGGUCAACCCGCUUUAAACCAGGCCUUUUUCGCCCCAGGGAGGAGGAUUUUUGGGUCCCUCCUCAGGUCGUUUAGAGCCACGUUUUCUUUUUG